RNAcentral lists this ribosomal RNA (492 nucleotides) under uncultured bacterium. Its description in RNAcentral is "partial 16S ribosomal RNA". It matches the Rfam family "Bacterial small subunit ribosomal RNA", at positions 29 to 507 of the family's 1533-position model. The record is from RNAcentral.
AGUGAACGCUGGCGGUAGGCCUAACACAUGCAAGUCGAACGGCAGCACAGUAAUAGCUUGCUCUUACGGGUGGCGAGUGGCGGACGGGUGAGGAAUACAUCGGAAUCUACUUUUUCGUGGGGGUUAACGUAGGGAAACUUACGCUAAUACCGCAUACGACCUACGGGUGAAAGCAGUGGAUCUUCGGACCUUGCGCGAUUGAAUGAGCCGAUGUCGGAUUAGCUAGUUGGCGGGGUAAAGGCCCACCAAGGCGACGAUCCGUAGCUGGUCUGAGAGGAUGAUCAGCCACACUGGAACUGAGACACGGUCCAGACGCCUAAGGGAGGCAGCAGUGGGGAAUAUUGGACAAAGGGCGCAAGCCUGAUCCAGCCAUACCGCGUGGGUGAAGAAGGCCUUCGGGUUGUAAAGCCCUUUUGUUGGGAAAGAAAAGCAGCAGGUUAAUACCCCGCUGUUCUGACGGUACCAAAAGAAUAAGCACCGGCUAACUUCGUG